RNAcentral lists this ribosomal RNA (497 nucleotides) under uncultured bacterium. Its description in RNAcentral is "partial 16S ribosomal RNA". It matches the Rfam family "Bacterial small subunit ribosomal RNA", at positions 28 to 507 of the family's 1533-position model. The record is from RNAcentral.
GAUGAACGCUGGCGGCGUGCCUAAUACAUGCAAGUCGAGCGAACGGACGAGAAGCUUGCUUCUCUGAUGUUAGCGGCGGACGGGUGAGUAACACGUGGAUAACCUACCUAUAAGACUGGGAUAACUUCGGGAAACCGGAGCUAAUACCGGAUAAUAUUGUGAACCGCAUGGUUCAAAAGUGAAAGACGGUCUUGCUGUCACUUAUAGAUGGAUCCGCGCUGCAUUAGCUAGUUGGUAAGGUAACGGCUUACCAAGGCAACGAUGCAUAGCCGACCUGAGAGGGUGAUCGGCCACACUGGAACUGAGACACGGUCCAGACUCCUACGGGAGGCAGCAGUAGGGAAUCUUGCGCAAUGGGCGAAAGCCUGACGGAGCAACGCCGCGUGAGUGAUGAAGGUCUUCGGAUCGUAAAACUCUGUUAUUAGGGAAGAACAUAUGUGUACGUAACUGUGCACAUCUUGACGGUACCUAAUCAGAAAGCCACGGCUAACUACGUG